Molecule: ribosomal RNA, 498 nt
Filed under: uncultured bacterium
Lineage: Bacteria
Description: partial 16S ribosomal RNA
Rfam family: Bacterial small subunit ribosomal RNA
Source: RNAcentral
GACGAACGCUGGCGGCGUGCCUAAUACAUGCAAGUCGUGCGGACCUUUUAAAAGCUUGCUUUUAAAAGGUUAGCGGCGGACGGGUGAGUAACACGUGGGCAACCUGCCUGUAAGACUGGGAUAACGCCGGGAAACCGGGGCUAAUACCGGAUCGUUUUUCCUCCGCAUGGAGGAAAAAGGAAAGGCGGCUUCGGCUGCCACUUACAGAUGGGCCCGCGGCGCAUUAGCUAGUUGGCGGGGUAACGGCCCACCAAGGCAACGAUGCGUAGCCGACCUGAGAGGGUGUGCGGCAACAUGGGGACGGAGCCACGCCCAAAACCCCGGGGGGGGGAAGAAGAGGGAAUUCUCCCGAAAUGGACGAAGGCGUGCGGGACAACCGCGGGGGGAGAAAAAAGGGCCUUGGGGUCGAAAACCUCUGUGGCGGGGAAAGAACAGGGGCCGUUCGAACGGGGCGGCGCCUGGGGGUACCCCGACAAGAAGGCCAGGGCAAGCUCGGGC